RNAcentral lists this unclassified non-coding RNA (19 nucleotides) under Mus musculus (house mouse). Its description in RNAcentral is "oocyte_clustered_small_RNA68". The record is from RNAcentral. Lineage: Eukaryota; Metazoa; Chordata; Mammalia; Rodentia; Muridae.
UUGCUAGGAAGCAGGCAGG